GUGAAAUGCGUAGAUNUAUGGAGGAACACCAGUGGCGAAAGCGGCUCUCUGGUCUGUCACUGACGCUGAGGCUCGAAAGCGUGGGUAGCGAACAGGAUUAGAUACCCUGGUAGUNCACGCCGUAAACGAUGAGUGCUAGGUGUUAGGCCCUUUCCGGGGCUUAGUGCCGGAGCUAACGCAAUAAGCACUCCGCCUGGGGAGUACGACCGCAAGGUUGAAACUCAAAGGAAUUGACGGGGGCCCGCACAAGCGGNGGAGCAUGUGGUUUAAUUCGAAGCAACGCGAAGAACCUUACCAGGUCUUGACAUCCCGAUGCUAUUCUUAGAGAUAGGAAGUUACUUCGGUACAUCGGAGACAGGUGGUGCAUGGUUGUCGUCAGCUCGUGUCGUGAGAUGUUGGGUUAAGUCCCGCAACGAGCGCAACCCUUAUUGUUAGUUGCCAUCAUUAAGUUGGGCACUCUAGCGAGACUGCCGGUAAUAAACCGGAGGAAGGUGGGGAUGACGUCAAAUCAUCAUGCCCCUUAUAACCUGGGCUACACACGUGCUACAAUGGUCGGUACAACGAGUUGCGAGCCGGUGACGGCAAGCUAAUCUCUGAAAGCCGAUCUCAGUUCGGAUUGGAGGCUGCAACUCGCCUCCAUGAAGUCGGAAUCGCUAGUAAUCGCGGAUCAGCACGCCGCGGUGAAUACGUUCCCGGGCCUUGUACACACCGCCCGUCACACCACGAGAGUUUGUAACACCCGAAGUCGGUGAGGUAACCUUUUAGGGGCCAGCCGCCUAAGGUGGGANGGAUG
RNAcentral lists this ribosomal RNA (793 nucleotides) under uncultured bacterium. Its description in RNAcentral is "bacterial SSU rRNA". It matches the Rfam family "Bacterial small subunit ribosomal RNA", at positions 681 to 1473 of the family's 1533-position model. The record is from RNAcentral.